Molecule: ribosomal RNA, 875 nt
Filed under: uncultured bacterium
Lineage: Bacteria
Description: bacterial SSU rRNA
Rfam family: Bacterial small subunit ribosomal RNA
Source: RNAcentral
CAAGUCAAGGGGGCCCGCAAGGGCAACCGGCAGACGAGGUAGUAAUAAGUAGGUACGAACUUUCGAGUCAUGAAUAGCUCGUCGAAAGACGGGGUAAUACAUGAUGGUCCCUCCGGGGUAAAGAUUUAUCGCUCGAAAAUCGGCCUGCUCGGUAUCAGCUAGUUGGUAAGGUAAUGGCUUACCAAGGCAAUGACGCCUAGGGGACCUGAGAGGGUGACCCCCACCGAUGGGACUGAGACACGGCCCAUACACCUACGGGUGGCUGCAGUCGAGAAUCUUCCGCAAUGGACGAAAGUCUGACGGAGCGACGCCGCGUGCAGGAUGAAGUUCUUCGGGAUGUAAACUGCUUUUAUAGGGGAGGAAGUUUAUUGACGUUACCCUACGAAUAAGAGGUUGCUAAACUCGUGCCAGCAGCAGCGGUAAUACGAGUGCCUCAAGCGUUAUCCGGAAUCAGUGGGCGUAAAGGGUGUGUAGGUGGUUGUAUUAGUCUCGCGUUAAAUUCUUCGGCUUAACCGGGGGCAUGCGCGGGAAACGGUAUGACUAGAGGAUGCAAGAGGUCUGCGGAACUCAUAGUGUAGCGGUGAAAUGCGUUGAUAUUAUGGGGAACACCAAAAGCGAAGGCAGCAGACUGGGGCACUCCUGACACUGAAACACGAAAGCGUGGGUAGCGAAUGGGAUUAGAUACCCCAGUAGUCCACGCCCUAAACGAUCUUCUCUAGCUAUUUCGAGUAUCGACCCUCGGAGUGGCGUAGCUAACGCGUUAAGAGAAGCGCCUGGGUAGUACGACCGCAAGGUUAAAACUCAAAGGAAUAGACGGGGACUCGCACAAGCAGAGGAUCAUGUGGUUUAAUUCGAUGGUAAACGAAGAACCUUAC